UGAGUGCGAGCUGCUACGGCAGCGAAGUUGGUGACGUCAAGCUUCCAAGAAAAGCCCUAUACCCGUUAAGGCAUCAUGGCCUGUACCCGAAACCGACACAGGUGGGGUGGUAGAGAAUACCGAGGGGCGCGAGGUAACUCUCUCUAAGGAACUCGGCAAAAUGGCCCCGUAACUUCGGGAGAAGGGGUGCCACCGCAAGGUGGUCGCAGUGAAGAGGCCCAGGCGACUGUUUACCAAAAACACAGGUCUCCGCUAAGUCGCAAGACGAUGUAUGGGGGCUGACGCCUGCCCAGUGCCGGAAGGUUAAGGAAGCUGGUCAGCGCAAGCGAAGCUGGCGACUGAAGCCCCGGUGAACGGCGGCCGUAACUAUAACGGUCCUAAGGUAGCGAAAUUCCUUGUCGGGUAAGUUCCGACCCGCACGAAAGGCGUAACGAUCUGGGCGCUGUCUCGGAGAGAGGCUCGGCGAAAUAGAAUUGUCUGUGAAGAUGCGGACUACGUGCACCCGGACAGAAAGACCCUAUGAAGCUUUACUGUAGCUUGGUAUUGUGCCCGGGCUCUGAAUGCGCAGGAUAGGUGGGAGGCUUUGAUCAUCGGCUUGCGGGUCGAUGUGAGCCAACGGUGAGAUACCACUCUUUCAGAGCUAGGGUUCUAACAGUCACCCGUUAUCCGGGGACUGGACAGUAUCAGGUGGGCAGUUUGACUGGGGCGGUCGCCUCCUAAAAGGUAACGGAGGCGCGCAAAGGUCUGCUCAGGCUGGUUGGAAAUCAGCCGACGAGUGUAAAAGCAGAAGCAGGCUUGACUGUGAGACCUACAAGUCGAACAGGGAGGAAACUCGGCUUUAGUGAUCCGACGGUUCUGCGUGGAAGGGCCGUCGCUCAACGGAUAAAAGUUACUCUAGGAUAACAGGCUGAUCUCCCCCAAGAGUUCACAUCGACGGGGAGGUUUGGCACCUCGAUGUCGGCUCAUCGCAACCUGGGGCUGAAGUCGGUCCCAAGGGUUGGGCUGUUCGCCCAUUAAAGCGGUACGCGAGCUGGGUUCAGAACGUCGUGAGACAGUUCGGUCCAUAUCCGGUGCAUGCGCAGGAAUAUUGAGAGGAGUUCUCCCUAGUACGAGAGGACCGGGAGGAACGCACCUCUGGUGUACCAGUUAUCGUGCCAACGGUAAACGCUGGGUAGCCAUGUGCGGAGAGGAUAACCGCUGAAAGCAUCUAAGUGGGAAGCCCACCUCAAGAUGAGUAUUCCCAUGGCGUUAGCCAGUAAGGUCACGGGAAGAACACCCGUUGAUAGGCUCUAUGUGGAAGCGCAGUAAUGCGUGAAGCAGAGGAGUACUAAUAGACCGAGGGCUUGAC
Molecule: ribosomal RNA, 1348 nt
Filed under: metagenome
Description: bacterial LSU rRNA
Rfam family: Bacterial large subunit ribosomal RNA
Source: RNAcentral